Molecule: non-coding RNA, 668 nt
Organism: Neolamprologus brichardi
Lineage: Eukaryota; Metazoa; Chordata; Actinopteri; Cichliformes; Cichlidae
Source: RefSeq, a predicted model, not a curated record
GAAAAGCUCUGGAUGUGCUUCAAGAAGCCUGGAGAAAUAUUCAUGAAGACCACUUAAAUGCUUUGCUGAAGAAUAAAGAAGCGGAGAUUCAUUGCUCGAUGAAAGUUGCUUUCAGCCACCAGCUGCUUCUCAAACAGACAUCUUCACGUCUUGGCGUUCUAUGGCAGAGAGGAUAAAGGUCACCAUGAAGGUCACAGAAAAAGAUCCAGCGAGGGAGGUGACUCAGCUGCAUGUCUGUGUGGGAGGGAAGGAAGCUAAGAAGGACAAUGAACAAGAAAAAGAAAACAGAAUUAUGAAAAGGAGGGAGGCCGCUUUCCAACACCACAUGUGGUGGUUCCGGAAUUCCACCUGAACACAAUCGACCCACUGAGAAAGCGUUUGUGGGACAGAAUUAGAUGUGCCUGGCUGACGCGGGUGGCUGUGAGGAUGGAGGCAGCAGCAGCAGCAGCAGGUGUGGUUGCCGCGUGGCGAGCGUGUUCAGCGUGGGCUUUAAGAGAAGCAAAGAGAAUUCGUCGGCGGGUCUAGUAGAGGAGUAUGCGGCGUUCGAUGGCCUUGCGGCAGAUGGGACACUCGCUCAUUCGAUCCCCGCACAGCUGGCAGGUUCCGUGGCCGCACAUGAAGAUCAUGUUCUUCAGCCGGUCCAGGCACACCGGACACAUGGUCUGCAC